Molecule: ribosomal RNA, 288 nt
Filed under: uncultured bacterium
Lineage: Bacteria
Description: partial 16S ribosomal RNA
Rfam family: Bacterial small subunit ribosomal RNA
Source: RNAcentral
GUGGAUUAGAUACCCGGGUAGUCCACGCCGUAAACGAUGUCAACUAGCCGUUGGAAUCCUUGAGAUUUUAGUGGCGCAGCUAACGCAUUAAGUUGACCGCCUGGGGAGUACGGCCGCAAGGUUAAAACUCAAAUGAAUUGACGGGGGCCCGCACAAGCGGUGGAGCAUGUGGUUUAAUUCGAAGCAACGCGAAGAACCUUACCAGGCCUUGACAUCCAAUGAACUUUCCAGAGAUGGAUUGGUGCCUUCGGGAACAUUGAGACAGGUGCUGCACGGCCGUCGUCAACU